CAUUAUCGAAUAAACUUGAACAGGCUGUUUGCUGGCUCUCAAGAGUAUGUGCACGCUUGUCAUCUUUAUCUCUCCAACUGUGCACAUAUUGUAGACCUUUGGGAUUUGGAUUAGUUUUCGAGUUGGGACUGCUGUGAAGUCGGCUUUUCCCUUGCAGGUCUAUGUCCUUUUUCACAAACAUCUGAAUUGUUUAGAAUGUUAUUAUUAUAAAGUUAAAUAUACAACUUUCAGCAACGGAUCUCUUGGCUCUUGCAUCGAUGAAGAACGCAGCGAAAUGCGAUAAGUAAUGUGAAUUGCAGAAUUCAGUGAAUCAUCGAAUCUUUGAACGCAUCUUGCGCUCCUUGGUAUUCCGAGGAGCAUGCCUGUUUGAGUGUCAUUCAAAUUCUCAAAACCAUGUCGAUUGUCUUUGAUGUGGCUUUGGAUUGUGGGGGUUUUUUUGCAGGCCUUUUGGGUCAGCUCCCCUGAAAUGCAUUAGUAGUAUCUGAGCAGAGAAACUACCACAAGGUGUGAUAAAUUUAUCUAUGCCUUUGGUGAGCUGCAUGAACAGAUUGCGCUGCUUAUAAUGAAGUGGCGGUGUCACCACGUUUGAUGAAUUUGACCUCAAAUCAGGUAGGACUACCC
RNAcentral lists this ribosomal RNA (621 nucleotides) under uncultured Basidiomycota. Its description in RNAcentral is "eukaryotic LSU rRNA". The stretch from base 223 to 376 matches the Rfam family "5.8S ribosomal RNA". Lineage: Eukaryota; Fungi; Basidiomycota. The record is from RNAcentral.